Molecule: long non-coding RNA, 267 nt
Filed under: Lathyrus oleraceus (garden pea)
Lineage: Eukaryota; Viridiplantae; Streptophyta; Magnoliopsida; Fabales; Fabaceae
Description: Pisum sativum (pea) long non-coding RNA (PSAT_LNC023122)
Source: RNAcentral
AAAUGAACUAUUUACGUUCACUAAAUCAGAACCGAGUUUUAUUCUAAAAUCUACAAUGCCGCUGUCGCGAUUUAGCCUGUCAAAGUAUAAAACUUAUAUUUUUUAAAAUUAAGAACUUCUAAUAAAUUAAAAAGUCGUUUUGAGUGAAUAAUAAAUUUAAAGGUGAUAUCAACUGCCGCUCGCGUAACACCAGAGUUCAAACUUAUAAAUGUUUGAUGUUGCAACACAUCUAUUCCUCUAAACUCUAUUUUUGAAAAUGGUUGUUUU